This 256-nucleotide unclassified non-coding RNA is filed under the name Verrucaria latericola. RNAcentral describes it as "partial contains 5.8S ribosomal RNA, internal transcribed spacer 2, and large subunit ribosomal RNA". Lineage: Eukaryota; Fungi; Ascomycota; Eurotiomycetes; Verrucariales; Verrucariaceae. The record is from RNAcentral.
CGCACAUUGCGCCCCUUGGUAUUCCGAGGGGCAUGCCUGUCCGAGCGUCAUUUUCAACCAUCUAGCACGGCUUGUUGUUGGGCUCUGCCGGUUAAAGGCAGGCCUGAAAGUCCGCGGCGGUGCCUCGUUGAACCUCCGAUGUAGCGAGCUUUCUGAGCAGCAUCGAGGCGGUGGACGGGCACGGCCUUGACGACGUACGUGGUGUACACCACUCCAGGUUGACCUCGGAUCAGGUAUGGAUACCCGCUGAACUUAA